RNAcentral lists this ribosomal RNA (402 nucleotides) under uncultured archaeon. RNAcentral describes it as "partial 16S ribosomal RNA". It matches the Rfam family "Archaeal small subunit ribosomal RNA", at positions 331 to 740 of the family's 1478-position model. The record is from RNAcentral.
UGCACCAGGCGCGAAACCUCCGCAAUGCGGGAAACCGUGACGGGGUCACCCCGAGUGCCCCGAAGAGGGGCUUUUCCCCGCUGUAAAAAGGCGGGGGAAUAAGCGGGGGGCAAGUCUGGUGUCAGCCGCCGCGGUAAUACCAGCCCCGCGAGUGGUCGGGACGAUUAUUGGGCCUAAAGCGCCCGUAGCCGGCCCGGUAAGUCCCCCCUUAAAGCCCCGGGCCCAACCCGGGGACGGGGGGGAUACUGCCGGGCUAGGGGGCGGGAGAGGCCGGCGGUACUCCCGGGGUAGGGGCGAAAUCCGUUAAUCCCGGGAGGACCACCAGUGGCGAAGGCGGCCGGCUGGAACGCGCCCGACGGUGAGGGGCGAAAGCCGGGGGAGCGAACCGGAUUAGAUACCCGG